UCUAGAAGGAAAGAAAAAGCCAAGUAUGAUUAAUUAUUCUUUUAGUAUGGAAACCAGGCGCUCAUUUUUAAGCUAAUAAUUGUAUAGGCAUGUGCCAGUGUAUGCUAUUUGAUAUUAUGUAUGUACAUCAUUAGGUGGUAAUUAGCUUGGUUGCCAGUUUUUAAUACAACAUUUUAAAAUCGUUAUUUUUAAACCAUCUUUACCUUACCUCUAACCCUCUUCAGAUUUGAAUAUCAACAUGGCUUUCUAAGCCAAAGAGAGCUAAGAACGCCUUCAGAAACAAAAAACAAAGAGGUGAUACCAACUCCAUCCCGAAGUACCUCAGUUUUGGGCCCUGGUAAUUCCUCUACCGGUCCCACAAAGAACCCGUUGAGCUUUCUUCCAACACUAUCUUCAAAAGAUGAUGAUGAAACCUCUAACAGAUGGUUAGAUGAGGAUGGAGGUGAUGAGAUACCUUAUUGUGUAUCACCUGAUAUCAGUGACUUUGAUAUCAGUGAUUUUGACUCCUCUUCUGACUCAAGUACUCACCUACUGGAUAAAUCUUAAUUUCUAAAGAGAUUUUACAUUUCUGCCAUUUGUGUGUAGUAGUCUGUAUAGUCUACAUUUAAACAUGUUUAUAAGAUACAUUUAGUUUGGGUUCUUCUUUUGUAGACAGAGGGAGUUUUUCUGAUGCAAGUUGAUCAGCUCACUUCCUUUCUCUCUCAAAAUUAUGGAUUGCCUGUCUCCUCAACAGAUCCAGAUAAUGAAAAGUUAAAUUGUUAGGGUCAUUGAUAACUGAUAACCCAUCCAAAGAUGCCAUCAGGAGGAGGACAUUGGAAAGGCAACACUUCAUUUUUUUGCUCCCAAAGCCCCCUCGACACAUUUUAACAGUGCUUUGUAGGAGGGAUUCAGAGUUGGAUUCUAGGCAACACAGAACAUCCUCUUGAGAAGUCUUUGGAAAGUUCCUUCACAUCCCAAUCAGUUUCAGGCUAUAAUGUGUGUGUAUUCAUAUCUUUCUGUUGUAUUC
Molecule: non-coding RNA, 1006 nt
Organism: Phascolarctos cinereus (koala)
Lineage: Eukaryota; Metazoa; Chordata; Mammalia; Diprotodontia; Phascolarctidae
Source: RefSeq, a predicted model, not a curated record